This 204-nucleotide ribosomal RNA is filed under the name uncultured bacterium. Its description in RNAcentral is "partial 16S ribosomal RNA". It matches the Rfam family "Bacterial small subunit ribosomal RNA", at positions 524 to 727 of the family's 1533-position model. The record is from RNAcentral.
UACGGAGGGUGCAAACGUUGCUCGGAAUCAUUGGGCGUAAAGCGCACGUAGGUGGCUUGUUAAGUCGGGUGUGAAAUCCCUGGGCUCAACCCAGGAAGUGCACUCGAAACUGGCGAGCUUGAGUACUGAAGAGGGUCGCGGAAUUCCCGGUGUAGAGGUGAAAUUCGUAGAUAUCGGGAGGAACACCAGUGGCGAAGGCGGCGA